This 608-nucleotide ribosomal RNA is filed under the name uncultured bacterium. Its description in RNAcentral is "bacterial SSU rRNA". It matches the Rfam family "Bacterial small subunit ribosomal RNA", at positions 110 to 753 of the family's 1533-position model. The record is from RNAcentral.
GUAACAUGUGGGAAUCUGCCUUGUGGUUCAGGACAACAUUGGGAAACCGAUGCUAAUACUGGAUAAGCCCUUACGGGGAAAGUUUUAAUGCCAUAAGAUGAGCCCGCAUUUGAUUAGUUAGUUGGUGAGGUAAUGGCUCACCAAGACAAUGAUCAAUAGCUGAUCUGAGAGGAUGAUCAGCCACACUGGGACUGAGACACGGCCCAGACUCCUACGGGAGGCAGCAGUGGGGAAUCUUGCACAAUGGAGGAAACUCUGAUGCAGCGAUGCCGCGUGAGUGAAGAAGGCCUUUGGGUUGUAAAGCUCUUUUGUAGGGGAAGAUAAUGACUGUACCCUAAGAAUAAGGUCCGGCUAACUUCGUGCCAGCAGCCGCGGUAAUACGAAGGGACCUAGCGUAGUUCGGAAUUACUGGGCGUAAAGCGCGCGUAGGCCGUUGAGUUAGUUAAUUGUGAAAUCCCAAAGCUUAACUUUGGAACUGCAAUUAAAACUGCUCGACUAGAGUUUGAUAGAGGAAAGCGGAAUACAUAGUGUAGAGGUGAAAUUCGUAGAUAUUAUGUAGAACACCAGUUGCGAAGGCGGCUUUCUGGAUCAACACUGACGCUGAGGCG